RNAcentral lists this ribosomal RNA (253 nucleotides) under Tepidisphaera sp. Its description in RNAcentral is "partial 16S ribosomal RNA". It matches the Rfam family "Bacterial small subunit ribosomal RNA", at positions 524 to 776 of the family's 1533-position model. The record is from RNAcentral. Lineage: Bacteria; Pseudomonadati; Planctomycetota; Phycisphaerae; Tepidisphaerales; Tepidisphaeraceae. RNAcentral also lists the same sequence under 1 other name.
GACAGAGGUGCCGAGCGUUAGGCGGAAUCACUGGGCUUAAAGCGUGUGUAGGCGGAUCGUUAAGUACCUUGUGAAAUCCCCCGGCUCAACCGGGGAACUGCUGGGUAUACUGGCGAUCUUGAGCGAUCUAGGGGCAGAUGGAACAAGUGGUGGAGCGGUGAAAUGCGUAGAUAUCACUUGGAACGCCAAAGGUGAAAACAGUCUGCUGGGGAUCUGCUGACGCUGAGACACGAAAGCCAGGGGAGCGAACGGG